Molecule: ribosomal RNA, 223 nt
Filed under: Hyphopichia burtonii
Lineage: Eukaryota; Fungi; Ascomycota; Pichiomycetes; Serinales; Debaryomycetaceae
Description: partial 28S ribosomal RNA
Rfam family: Eukaryotic large subunit ribosomal RNA
Source: RNAcentral
CAUUUUCCUCAAAUCAGGUAGGACUACCCGCUGAACUUAAGCAUAUCAAUAAGCGGAGGAAAAGAAACCAACAGGGAUUGCCUCAGUAACGGCGAGUGAAGCGGCAAAAGCUCAAAUUUGGAAUCUCAGUCUUUCAGGCUGCGAGUUGUAAUUUGAAGACGUAUUUUGAAGUAAGCACAUGUCGAAGUUCCUUGGAACAGGACGUCACAGAGGGUGAGAAUCC